CAAGGAAUUUUCCCCAAUGGGCGCAAGCCUGAGGGAGCAACGCCGCGUGCAGGAUGACGGCCCUCAGGGUUGUAAACUGCUUUUGUAUGGGAAUAAAAAAGUCCUUGCGAGGACUCUUGAAGGUACCAUAAGAAUAAGCACCGGCUAACUCCGUGCCAGCAGCCGCGGUAAUACGGAGGGUGCAAGCGUUAUCCGGAUUUACUGGGUUUAAAGGGUGCGUAGGCGGCUUUUUAAGUCAGUGGUGAAAGCCUAGACACUUAAUGUCAGAAGUGCCAUUGAUACUGAAGAGCUUGAGUCAAGGAGAGGUAAGCAGAAUUUGUGGUGUAGCAGUGAAAUGCUUAGAUACCAUGAGGAAUACCAACAGCGAAGGCAGCUUACUGGCCUUGUACUGACGCUGAGGCACGAAAGCGUGGGGAGCAAACAGGAUUAGAUACCCGUGUAGUCC
Molecule: ribosomal RNA, 445 nt
Filed under: uncultured prokaryote
Description: bacterial SSU rRNA
Rfam family: Bacterial small subunit ribosomal RNA
Source: RNAcentral